This is a long non-coding RNA of Ailuropoda melanoleuca (giant panda), 1555 nucleotides long. RefSeq lists it as uncharacterized. The transcript has 6 exons. Lineage: Eukaryota; Metazoa; Chordata; Mammalia; Carnivora; Ursidae. The record is from RefSeq and is a predicted model, not a curated record.
GGUCCUCCAGGGGCCUCCGGGGGAGGGGGGCAGGGUUCGCCCCAGAGUCUCUGGGCCCAGGUGUCAGCCAGCGAGAUGUGAGGGCGGUCGGCUCACCCGGCACUGGUGCAGCGGAGUGUGCUGCCCUGUCAGUCAAGGUGUCUUCAUUUGUACCCUGCGAUUACUUUUGUCUUAAUUUGUCUCAGUGUCUCUCUCCCUCUCUGACUGCUGUUAGCUCAGUUCCUGCCAAGCGGGAGACAAGAGCCCGAAAUGAACCCAGAACCUCUGUGAUGUAAGGCAGGAAUUUAAUGUAACAAGUGCCUGGAGAAUCCUGACAGCUGGUCUAGGACUGGCCAGCCUUCGUCAAAGUUGGAAAGAAAACUUCCUGGAUUACAUCGCUGUUGUCUCAGGGUCCCCUCUACCAAAUGGCCGAAGUGUGGCCAUGGGACUCUUUUGCUCUCCAGAGCACAGAACAGAUCAAGCUCAUCAUAAAAACAGCAGCAGCAAAGGACUGAGAAAGGCUGGGGAAGAAUAUAAGCCGACCUUGCAGCACUCGUGCCUGGAGGAGACAUUCCGUAAUCACGUACUGGGAGAAAUGGGCCAAGCCGAGGGCCUGAAACUCACCACAUACACGGAGAUGGGCAGAAUCAUGUGUCCCCAAAUUCUUACUCUGAAUCUCAGAACGUGACUGUAUUUGGAGAUACGGUUUUCACAGAGAGGAGGACACUGUGACGGGGAAUGAUUCAGUCACUUCCCCAUGUGACUGCGAGUACCUGCGUCAUUCUUUUCCGAGCAUCACCUCCUACAGACGGCUGCCUUCUUGACGUGGAUUCCUGUGGUUUUCUCAAAGAUCUUUUUUCUUGCACUUCAUUCAUCUGGCCUGUCCCACAUCACUCUCCUACCUAUGAAUGCUACCAGCCGCUCCAGGGCUCUGUGCCUUCUGUGCAUGCGAGCCGUUUUCUCUACCAGAUGGUGCACUUCUCCUCACUCUUUGGUGUAAUUUCUCAGAAUUAGGAGAGCCUUUUUGAACAUGACACGAGGUCCAGAGCCAUAAGAAUGACAUGUUCUUAGAAAAGUAUCUACUUACUGAAAUGGGAAAACGAGGAAGUCAAGUGUACUUGUGGAUGUGAGGUACACAAUGUGUCACGACCCUGGGGUCUCGCUGGGCCAAAAAGGACCAGUGUCUGGCCUCUAAGUCAUGGGAAGACAAGGGUCAGUCUUGUAGGUGUGAUGUGGCUAUUACAGAAAGCAGGUGGCCUUUUUGUUUGGCACCUGCGUACUCUUCUGCUGAUAGCAGGUGGACCCAGGUAGAGCUGGCGGGAGAGAGCAUGGUUGAGGGGUCCUGGGAAUCAGCUGAUGGCUUAUUUCAGCAAUAACAUGUGUGUUCACGGCCAGAUGUGCUGGCCUCUUCCAUUUGUUCCUGAGGCAAAUUGCAAGAAAAUCCUGCAUUCUGAUAUAAUCGAUGAUCUAAUACCCAAGAAAAGGUUUUGUGGUUUUAUUUUGGUUAAGCGUUUGCUUUAGGACUGAUACUACUAUUGCUUUUAAUAAAUGAUUUUGAUACACCUUGUCCUCAGAA